CCUACGGGGGGCAGCAGUAGGGAAUCUUUCACAAUGGGCGAAAGCCUGAUGGAGCAACGCCGCGUGCAGGAUGAAGGCCUUCGGGUUGUAAACUGCUUUUAUCAGCGAGAAAUAUGAUGGUAACUUAUGAAUAAGGAUCGGCUCACUACGUGCCAGCAGCCGCGGUCAUACGUAGGAUCCGAGCAUUAUCCGGAGUGACUGGGUGUAAAGAGUUGCGUAGGUGGCAUAAUAAGUAGCUAGUGAAAGCUGGUGGCUCAACCAUUCAGACUAUUAGCUAAACUGUUAAGCUCGAGACCGUUAGGGGUAACUGGAAUUUCUAGUGUAGGAGUGAAAUCCGUAGAUAUUAGAAGGAACACCAAUAGCGUAGGCAGGUUGCUGGGACGGUUCUGACACUAAGGCACGAAAGCGUAGGGAGCAAACGGGAUUAGAUACCCGGGUAGUC
This 442-nucleotide ribosomal RNA is filed under the name uncultured bacterium. RNAcentral's name for it is "partial 16S ribosomal RNA". It matches the Rfam family "Bacterial small subunit ribosomal RNA", at positions 338 to 795 of the family's 1533-position model. The record is from RNAcentral.